This 274-nucleotide ribosomal RNA is filed under the name bacterium enrichment culture clone ALO1_GLFRUDD03HDTWX. RNAcentral's name for it is "partial 16S ribosomal RNA". It matches the Rfam family "Bacterial small subunit ribosomal RNA", at positions 9 to 279 of the family's 1533-position model. The record is from RNAcentral.
GAGUUUGAUCUUGGCUCAGAUUGAACGCUGGCGGCAUGCCUUACACAUGCAAGUCGAACGGCAGCACGGGAGGCUUGCUCCUGGUGGCGAGUGGCGAACGGGUGAGUAAUGCCAUCGGAACGUAUCCUGGAGUGGGGGAUAACGUAGCGAAAGUUACGCUAAUACCGCAUAUUCUGUGAGCAGGGAAAGCGGGGGACCUUCGGGCCUCGCGCUCUUGGAGCGGCCGAUGUCGGAUUAGCUAGUUGGUGAGGUAAAGGCGUCACCAAGGCGACGA